CCUCUUGCAAGACCAAUGAAUAAGAGGUCCCGCCUGCCCUGUGACUAUACGUUUAACGGCCGCGGUAUUUUGACCGUGCGAAGGUAGCGCAAUCACUUGUCUUUUAAAUGAAGACCUGUAUGAAUGGCAUCACGAGGGCUUAGCUGUCUCCCCCUCCCAGUCAAUGAAAUUGAUCUCCCCGUGCAGAAGCGGGGAUAAAGACAUAAGACGAGAAGACCCUAUGGAGCUUAAGACGCCAGGCCUGCUCACGUUAAACACCCUCUCACAAGAGAGAUAAACCGAGUGAACCCUGCUCUAGUGUCUUUGGUUGGGGCGACCGCGGGGAAAAAUUUAACCCCCAUGUGGAACGGGAACACUAUGUUCCUUAAUCCGAGAGCUCCCGCUCUAAUAAACAGAACUUCUGACCAACAAGAUCCGCAACGCCGAUCAACGGACCGAGUUACCCUAGGGAUAACAGCGCAAUCCUCUUAAAGAGCCCUUAUCGACAAGGGGGUUUACGACCUCGAUGUUGGAUCAGGACAUCCUAAUGGUGCAGCCGCUAUUAAGGGUUCGUUUGUUCAACGAUUAAAGUCAU
RNAcentral lists this ribosomal RNA (574 nucleotides) under Sparodon durbanensis. RNAcentral's name for it is "partial 16S ribosomal RNA". It matches the Rfam family "Bacterial large subunit ribosomal RNA", at positions 1819 to 2597 of the family's 2925-position model. Lineage: Eukaryota; Metazoa; Chordata; Actinopteri; Spariformes; Sparidae. The record is from RNAcentral.